UGGACGGAGAGGGGAGCUUUGCCCCUUGUUUGGUUCCUCGGAGAUAAAGAGGUGACGAUAGAUUGGUCGGAGGUGCAAUCGGAAUGAAGGAGCGAGUCGGUGCGGGUCCGAUCAGGGACAAAUCGGCGUUCACUCGUGCGGUAAAUGGCCUCUUAGCCUUCUUCCGUCUCGCCGAAUUUGAGGUCCUCUGCUUCCUCUUUAUCGUCAUCGCCUACGUCAUCUUCAAGGAUUUGACAUCAAGACCAGAGUACAAUCAGAUUCUUGUAAAGAAGCCCGAUGGUAAUGAUGUCUGGCCAUAUACUAGAUAAUACCAAAAAACUUCUCCAAUAUUAGAUAAGGACUACUGCCAUCUCAAAGUUGUUAAAGUUCUAUUGUACAUCUUUGUUUGUAAGCUAGAGCUUAUUAGCCUACGGCCUCUUCCAUGGAGUUCUUGUUGGUUAGUUGACUAGAAAUCUAUCUCCAGAAAAGAAGAAUCUAUGUGUGAGAUGUUGUGGAAACAAGAUGUUUAUGAAUUUAACAAUUUUCGCAUUUUCUGAUUGAUUUUAUUCCUCUCCU
This is a long non-coding RNA of Telopea speciosissima, 555 nucleotides long. RefSeq lists it as uncharacterized. The record is from RefSeq and is a predicted model, not a curated record. The transcript has 2 exons. Lineage: Eukaryota; Viridiplantae; Streptophyta; Magnoliopsida; Proteales; Proteaceae.